AAAAAAACAAAUGUUCAGUGUAUAUAUAAAAUUGAAGAGUAAAGUGAAGGGUAAAUUCUUGUGUUGUUACAAUAUUCAGAGACAAAAAGAAUCAGCAGAAACAUUGUUUUGGCACAACUUGCUACAGAAUGGAAUAAAUUUUCUCACAGAAAAAACUAGUUUCACAAGUGGGCAGAUAUUUGUUGGCUCUCUUUGCAUUUGUAAUUCUAUCCACUUGUACAUCUGUUCAUCCAUGUCUCUGUGCACCUGUAACAAUUUAAUUUAUGUUAAUUGUUGGAAAAGAACAUUAUCAAGUGCGAAGAAAAAAAAGAUUACUCGUAAUAUCAGCAAAAGUAGGCUUAUGCACCACUAUUGUAUUUCCAAGGAAAAUAUGUUCCUCGUGAGAUUAAUUUGAAUAUGCGGAAUCGCUGAAGAAUAGGAAGAAAUUAAAUAAAGUUAGGCCACAAAAUCAUAUCUAACAACCCUCUAUUGCUGUAAAAUGUUGAAUAAGAUUAAUAUGUACAUGUUCAUGCAGGAAUGAUUUCACCAGUGGUAGUUGAAUUUCAUUGUCUUUACAAUUGACUAUGUGAUAUAAGAACUUCUCAUGAAUUUCUUUAAUAAUAAAAGUAGCUGAACCUUUUUAAUGAACAAGUUUAAAGAAUGGAAUGAACAAGAAUUGAUUUGACAAAUGUUGAGCCGAAUGAAACAGGUUUAAUAAACAAUUGUUCAACCAUAAAUAAGUAGUUGAACAUCUUUUUUGUUAACAAUUUGAACAAAAAAGAGAUAUGUAAAUAUAUUAAACAAAAAAUCCAGGCAAUUAAUAAAAAUGUUUAACAAACGUUCAAAUUUGUUUUUUUCUAUUUAACCUAUUAAAAACAAAUAUUCAGUUUUUUGUCGCAAACAAAUGUUCCAUAUUUUAUACAAAAAUAUUCAUCUUAUAUUACAAAAUUGUUCAUGGUAUAUUUAAAAAAACAUUAACUAUGCAUUAUAAAAUUGUUCUCGCUUAUUAAGAAUGUGUUCAACGUAUAUUACACAAAAAUGUUCAGUGUGUAUUCGGAAAUUGUUCAGCAUCGAUUACACAAAAUGUUCAAUGUGUAUUAAAAAAAUGUUCAACGUACAUUAAAAAUGUUUAAGGCCUACCAAAAUUGAACAAUAGACUUUAAUAGGUUAAACAAAAAUAUGGAACGAAUGAACUCUUAAGAAUUUAGUUGAACAGAAAGUGAAUAAGUUUAAUAGACGAUGACCAAAUGUUGGAAUGUUAAUAAACAUAAAAAAUUCCUUUUUAUGCUGAAAGUUGAUUAAGUAAGAAACAAAUACACAUAAUGACAAGUUAAUUAGAACCAUGCUGAAGUAGAUGAUAUUCUGCAUGGCAAACUCUGCAAAAGGCAAUAAAAUUAGAACCACCCAGCACAAAAGGAAACAUCACUUUGUUUCACCUUUUCUUAUAAAAAUAUGGGACCAAACUUCACUGCAUAUGGAAGACAUAUGUCAUGUUCAGAUUGAGAAUGAUUGAAAAAAUAGCACCCAUGCAGAAUAAGGAAAAUUGCUUAACGAAAUAACACUAUGAAUCACCUUGCACAUACUAUUUGGGGACCAAACUUCACUAACUAUGGAAGAACAUCAUCACAUCAGAACUGCCAAAUUUGUGAGAAACGAAACACAUCCAAGCACCAACUAGUGUUCAGAUUGAGAGGUUUCGCUUUUACAUUUCACUCGAUCUACUCUAAUUCUAGACUCAGGAAGCCAACUGGACCAGAUUGUUCUUCCAUAGCGCAUAUGUCAACCGGCGAUAUGAAGGACUUUGUUGUUGUGCUAGAAAAUGCCUACUUAACCAUAGCGCAUAUGCUUUGCUAACCAUUGCAACAAAUCCAUGUCUGCGCACAUUCAGAAGAUGUUUGAAUUAGUCUAGCAUAAAGCUUCUCUGCAAAGGAGACAUCUUACUAACAACUUUGGCCCAACGAAGAGUAGAAAACCGUGACCAGAAAGUCGCAGUGGACCGUACAGGAACAUUUUGCCCUAGAAAAAGAAAUAGAGGAAGGUAUAAAACUCAGAGUCAUAAAACAACACCAAAAGUGAAGAUAGUGCAAGAAAAGCUGAUAGAUAAUAUACAAAUGAAUUGCUAACAAGUAACCUAUUAAAAAAGGAAUGUGAUUACUUAAGAGUCAUAUUAGUUCAGGUCAAACAACAAAACAAAAUCUGUAAACCAAACACUAUUUUUAACCUUUUCGUCACAGAAAAAUUGCUCAUAAGUCAUGGAUAGAGUGGACAUACUUUUUCCUUAAGAAACCAAGUACUGUGAUGACCAAUUCUUCACAUAAAAACAAAUGCAAGCACCAACUACUGGUAUGAGCACCGAAGUAUUUCCAAAAAUCACACAAACCGACAACUAGUAUGAGUAAUCCCUACCAGAACGAACAAAACAACAACUAGGAUGAGCAAUCCCUACCAAAAUCGAGCAAAACAACUACUGUGAUGAGCAACCCCAACCAGAUCGAACACAUCAACUACUUGGAUCACCAAUUCCUACCAAAAAGGAGCACGAGAUUGAUCUAGGGGUCAAGAAACAGGGACGAAUUCCAACCAAAACAAAGCAAUCCCUAGCAGAUCGAACGAACAGAGCCGCAUCAACCAGCUCCCCACUCCAUACGAAACCAUAAUCGUAGAACUAAAUGGGUCGAGACCGAAACAGUAACUACAACCUGCUUCUCAAAUCCGCCAUGGAAAAGAUGGGAGAUGAACAACGAACCUUGCGCAGCCAUGGCGGCAACCAAUUCCGCGAAGAGAAAACGCCGGCCGGGGAGUCACGAAGAUACAGAGAAGAAGCAAGCGAAGAGAGAAGAGAAACGCCGGCUGGGGAAGCGAGACGAG
This 2847-nucleotide long non-coding RNA is filed under the name Triticum aestivum (bread wheat). Its description in RNAcentral is "long non-coding RNA (TAES_LNC001893)". The record is from RNAcentral. Lineage: Eukaryota; Viridiplantae; Streptophyta; Magnoliopsida; Poales; Poaceae.